This 254-nucleotide ribosomal RNA is filed under the name uncultured bacterium. RNAcentral describes it as "partial 16S ribosomal RNA". It matches the Rfam family "Bacterial small subunit ribosomal RNA", at positions 524 to 776 of the family's 1533-position model. The record is from RNAcentral.
UACGUAGGGGGCAAGCGUUGUUCGGAAUGACUGGGCGUAAAGGGUGCGUAGGCGGUGUAGCAAGUUAGAAGUGAAGUACCUAGAGCUUAACUCAGGUGCUGCUUCUAAAACUGCUAUACUUGAGUGCAGUAGAGGAAAGUGGAAUUCCUAGUGUAGCGGUGGAAUGCGUAGAUAUUAGGAGGAACAUCAGUGGCGAAGGCGACUUUCUGGGCUGUAACUGACGCUGAGGCACGAAAGUGUGGGGAGCAAACAGG